RNAcentral lists this ribosomal RNA (114 nucleotides) under Sphaerotilus montanus. RNAcentral also lists the same sequence under 1 other name. Lineage: Bacteria; Pseudomonadati; Pseudomonadota; Betaproteobacteria; Burkholderiales; Sphaerotilaceae. The record is from RNAcentral.
CCUGACGACCAUAGCAAGUUGGAACCACCCCUUCCCAUCCCGAACAGGACCGUGAAACGACUUAGCGCCGAUGAUAGUGCGCACCGCGCGUGUGAAAGUAGGUCAUCGUCAGGC